RNAcentral lists this unclassified non-coding RNA (2224 nucleotides) under Hevea brasiliensis (rubber tree). The record is from RNAcentral. Lineage: Eukaryota; Viridiplantae; Streptophyta; Magnoliopsida; Malpighiales; Euphorbiaceae.
GAGAGAGAGAGAGAGAGAGGGAAGUGCUAAAAGAAGAGAUGGGUAGGGGUUUGAUGGCGGAAAGGCCUGGGGACAGGUGCUAAAGAGGGCUGGGUUUUGGAGACAUGCAAGGGCACACGUGGAGCGCUCAAGUUUUUACGACUCCUAGAUCUGCGUGUGACCUAUGGACUUUUUCUUUUUCAAUCACAAGAUUGGUUUCUUGAGUUUUUCCCCUGCUUUAAGGUGGUCUUGGUCCUGGCCCAUCUGGCCCGGCCUGGAAAAAGAAUCCCUGAAGGUCUUUCUAUGUUGCUUGAAUCGGCCUGCAAAGGAUUCUACAAUUGCUGUGCUUUUCAAAACCAAUUAAUGAGCAAAUUCAUAACUUUAGAAAUUUUUUAUUUUGAUCAACGUAUACCACUGUAGUUGUUACAAUCCUCGAUCAACGAAUCGGAUACAGAAGUGGAUGUUGGUGAACCCCAGCAGCAAGGAGCAGAAAACAAGCAACUAAUAUGAAUCCAAAUAUGAAGAAAACAACUAUAACGUGGACAUCAUUAUCAACCUUAUUUUCAGUAGUAAGUAUAUCAGGAAUCCUGGAAUGUUGCUUAUCCUUCUCUGUGUAUGCAUUUUUCUUCCUGUUGUCUAAUUUGGUCUUCCUGAGAGGCUGCUGCUCAUUAGCAUCAAUUAAACUGCUAGUCUUUACAACAGAUGUUUCUGGCAGUGAGAACUCUUGUACAUCCUCUUUGGCCAAUUCUGAUCCAGAGCUGGAGACCCUGUGGCUAGAAAUUUUAGCUAAAUCUGGCAACGCUUGAAAUUUUGAGAUAACAGUUGUAGCAGAGUCAGUAAACGAAACUCUCCUUAUACUUUCUCUGGCUACUUGAAGAGCUUCCAGUAGUACUAGUACUGUCAUUUUUAUCACUCUCAGUUGACGAGUGGUGCGAGGAAUUGCUGUCAUCCAACAGAAGUUGUUUGGAUUUCUCAUGGGGUUUUUGGUUUGGGUUUUUGCUAAUAAGGUCCCAUUUUGAAGGGCUCCUUCCAUAGUUUUGGAUUUCAUAUCUCAAGCAAGUGUUCAGCCAGCGUUGGUGUACUAGCUCUUCUACCAUGCUGAAUCUGUUCUUCUGCAAUCUCUCUACUUGAUUCCAAAGGUACUCAUUGUGAAGUUUCAAAGUAGUUACUUCCUCCUCAAUCUUGGUAAUACUUUUGCUCUGCACCAGUUUCAAACAACACAUAGAUAAAUGCAAAUAAGCUUCAAGAAUUAGUUCUUUGUAAAAUUUUCAAGUCACCAAGAAUGUUAAUUAUCAAUUAAUUUGUUGGAAGUGCAUGAAAAGAUAGAAUAUUAGAAGUUAUUCUACAGAUGUUAAGGCGUAGAUAUACCUACAUACAUGCUGAAGCUUUCAUUGUAUCUAUAUGGAGCUAAAAUUAUAUUUACCUCUGUCAAGUUGGAGAGGGAAGUUUUUCUUGCUUGAGCAGUAACUAACUUAACUGCCAGUUCCCUCUUUUCCAACUCAGGUUCUUUAUUUUUCCUCCUCAUCUCAUAAUAUUCUAAUUCAACAUCUUUGAGAGCUUUCAUUCUCUCCACAAUCGCUGUAUCUCUGUAAGUGAAUUCAUCUCUUUGAAAUCCAGAAACUUUUUCUUGAAGCAUCAUCAAUUGGACCUUCAAAUGGCUUUCAUUGGCAUUCAUUUUCCUCUCAAUUUUCUCUAUCAUCUCUUUUGCCACCUUUACUUGCUUUUCCGCCGAGAUUCCCUCUUUUAUUUCUUUCUGCAGAUGAUUAAUCUUAUUAUACAAAGAAUUAAAGGUGAUAUUAAGCAUGUCCAUCUCCUUCAUCUUCUCCUCCAAGUUUUUUCGCAACUGGGCAAUGUAAGAUUGCUGUUCUUUUAGACUAUAAAGCUCAAACAAUUUCUGAUAUUGAUGAGUUAUCUGUAUGCUUUACUUCCUCUUCAAUCUGUUGGAGUCUCGAUACAUCUUUCCCUGAGUGCUUUGCAUAAGAGUUCUCUUUACUCUGAGAAACUGCAAUAGCUGAAACUGCAGCCACCGCCAGAAAGCUUACCUCACGUAGUUGUUGUCACAGAUCAGAACAGAAAAUUUUCCUAAUUAGUGGGAAUUACUUGUUCUGUGUCUUCAGCACCAUAUCCUCUUACUCACUCUGGUCCUGUUGUACAUAUGCUUCUCAUGGAGUAGCAGAAGAUAAAAUCUCAUCACUAAGCAGUGGUUGAUUUUUCUUUCCCUGCAAACAUGGAUAUUUAAUGCUUU